This 245-nucleotide ribosomal RNA is filed under the name uncultured Saccharofermentans sp. Its description in RNAcentral is "partial 16S ribosomal RNA". It matches the Rfam family "Bacterial small subunit ribosomal RNA", at positions 524 to 768 of the family's 1533-position model. The record is from RNAcentral. Lineage: Bacteria; Bacillati; Bacillota; Clostridia; Eubacteriales; Oscillospiraceae.
UACGUAGGUGACAAGCGUUAUCCGGAUUUACUGGGCGUAAAGGGCGUGUAGGCGGUCUUACAAGUCAGAUGUGAAAUUCCCGGGCUCAACUUGGGCGCUGCAUCUGAAACUGCAAGACUUGAGUGCUGGAGGGGAUAGCGGAAUUCCUAGUGGAGCGGUAAAAUGCGCAGAGAUUAGGAAGAACACCGGUGGCGAAGGCGGCUAUCUGGACAGUAACUGACGCUGAGGCGCGAAAGCGUGGGGAG